Molecule: non-coding RNA, 24 nt
Filed under: Arabidopsis thaliana (thale cress)
Lineage: Eukaryota; Viridiplantae; Streptophyta; Magnoliopsida; Brassicales; Brassicaceae
Source: RNAcentral
ACUGCCACAUUUGUUUUGUGCAUG